This 423-nucleotide ribosomal RNA is filed under the name Leptotrichia wadei. RNAcentral's name for it is "bacterial SSU rRNA". It matches the Rfam family "Bacterial small subunit ribosomal RNA", at positions 28 to 452 of the family's 1533-position model. The record is from RNAcentral. Lineage: Bacteria; Fusobacteriati; Fusobacteriota; Fusobacteriia; Fusobacteriales; Leptotrichiaceae.
GAUGAACGCUGACAGAAUGCUUAACACAUGCAAGUCUUUGGCGAAGCUGUGCUUGCACAGCCUAGCCAAGGCGGACGGGUGAGUAACGCGUAAGGGACUUGCCCUGCAGUCAGGGAUAACAGACGGAAACGACUGAUAAGACCUGGUAAAGCCAGGCGGACUCAUGUCCAGCCUGAUGAAAAGGAAUGCUGCAGGAGAGCCUUGCGUCCUAUUAGCUUGUUGGUGGGGUAACGGCCCACCAAGGCGAUGAUAGGUAGCCGGCCUGAGAGGGUGGACGGCCACAAGGGGACUGAGAUACGGCCCUUACUCCUACGGGAGGCAGCAGUGGGGAAUAUUGGACAAUGGGGGCAACCCUGAUCCAGCAAUUCUGUGUGCACGAUGAAGGUCUUCGGAUUGUAAAGUGCUUUCAGCAGGGAAGAAAAA